Molecule: unclassified non-coding RNA, 412 nt
Filed under: Hevea brasiliensis (rubber tree)
Lineage: Eukaryota; Viridiplantae; Streptophyta; Magnoliopsida; Malpighiales; Euphorbiaceae
Source: RNAcentral
UUGGUACGCCUCUACAUGUUACCCCUGGUGAUGAGCUUGGUGCUAGUAAUUCAUAUGGCAAUACUCCUGCUCCACACCGAUUUCUAAAGUUAGGAUCUAUGUUUCUUCUAUCGAUCUCCUUCUCUAUCCGUCUCAUCUCUGCGGAGAACUCAUAAAAUGACUCGAUUAUUUCAGCAUCACCAGACCAAAUCGAUGGCUGUUGUCGUUCACCUAGGUAUUCCUCAUCCGGUGAGUGUGUCGAUAAGGUAUCUCCCCCAGCCAUAAAUUUUGUUGCUUGUAACAGACUCGGCAAUGCUGACAGGAAAUAUUUUUGUGGAUCAGCUACGAGACUUGCAUAUUCCGUGUCAUUUUCUUCUGGGAUUAAUCUUCUCAUUAAGGGCGGUCUAUUAGGCACAUAGCCCCCAUAAGGAUA